Molecule: long non-coding RNA, 2534 nt
Filed under: Sus scrofa (pig)
Lineage: Eukaryota; Metazoa; Chordata; Mammalia; Artiodactyla; Suidae
Description: lncRNA (ENSSSCG00015018386.1)
Source: RNAcentral
GUUUGGAUAAGGUUUAAAACCAAACAGGCUAGCAUUUGAGUAGAUUGGGGGGUAUUAUAAUAAAGAAUCUUUGAAAUCCAUCCUACAGAUUUUAUUUUUUAUUUUUACUUACUUAUUUUUUGCUUUUUAGGGCUGCAUCCGCAGCAUAUGGAGGUUCCCAGGCUAGGGGUCAAAUCGCAGCUGCAGCUGCUGGCCUACACCAUAGAUAGCCACAGCAACACUGGAUCCUUCACCCACUGAGAGAGGCCAGGGAUCAAACCCCAAACCUCAUGGUUCCUAGUUGGAUUCAUUUCCGCUGUGCCACGACGGGAACUCCACACUCUCUUCUUUGUGAUGAGAACUUUUAAGUCUACUCUCUUAGCAACUUUCAAAUAUACAAUAUGGUAUUGUUAACUGUGUCACCAUGCUGUACAUUACAUCCCCAGGUCUUAGUUAUUUUAUACCUUUUAACCACUGUUACCAUCCAUUACACCUAUUCCCCACCCCCUGCCUCUGGCAACCACCAGUCUGUUCUUUGUAUUUAUGAGGUUUUUGUUUUUUUAAGUUUCCACCUAUAAGUGACAGCAUAUAGUAUUUGUCUUUCUCUGUCUGACUUAUUUCACUUAGCAUCAUGCCCUCAAGGUCCAUCUGUAUUUACUCAGAUAUCAGGAUUGCCUUCUUUUUCAUGAUUGAAUAUACCCCAUUGUAUAUAUAAACACAUUUACUGUUACUAUCCAUUUAUAGACACUUAGGUUGUUUCCAUGUCCUGGUUGGUGUAAAUAAUGCUGCAGUGAAUGUGGGGGUGCAGGUAUCUUUGUGAGAUAGUGAUUUUGUUUCUUCAUCUAACUACCCAGAAGUGGAAUUGCUGUUUCAUGUGGUAGUUCAAUUUUUAAUUCUUUUUUUUUUUUUUUUGUCUUUUGUCCUUUUAGGGCUGAACCCUUGGCAUAUGGAGGUUCCCAGGCUAGGGGUCUAAUUGGAGCUGUUGCUGCCAGCCUGUACCACAGCCAGAGCAACGCAGGAUCUGAGCCUCAUCUGCGACCUACACCACAGCUCACAGCAACACCGGAUCCUUAACCCACUGAGCAAGUCCAGGGAUUGAACCCAUACCUCAUGGUUCCCAGUCAGAUUUGUUUCUGCUGUGCCACAAUGGGAACUCCUCAAUUUUUAAUUUUUUGAGGAACUUCCAUAUUGUUUACAUAGUGGAUACACCAGUUUACAUUAGCACCAACAAUGCACAAGGAUUGAAUAGCCUUUUUUUAAUGAAAAUCUAUUCAAAAAAAUUAAACACACACAUAUAAAACUUGUCAGCAUUUUCACAUAUAUAUAGUUUUUUCUUCUAUUGAAAUUAUGCUUUUUAUUUUUUAAUUUAAUUUAUUUAUUUUUGUCUUUUUGCCUUUUCUAGGGCCCCUCCUGCGGCAUAUGGAGGUUCCCAGGCUAGGUGUCUAAUUGGAGCUAGAGUUGCUGGCCUACGCCAGAGCCACAGCAACGCGGGUUCUGAGCCACAUCUGUGACCUACAUACACCACAGCUCACGGCAACGCCAGAUCCUUAACCCACUGAACAAGGCCAGGGAUCAAACCCGAAACCUCAUGGUUCCUAGUCGGAUUCUUUAACCACUGAGCUACUACGGGAACUCCCAAAUUAUGCUUUUUAAACUCAAGUAAAACAACAUCUGUAAUUGCACAUAAACAUUGUCUUAGCUUUUUUUUAAACUGAAGAUUUCCCUUUUUGAUGAAAAUUUAGAAACUAUUUCACAUGAAUUGUGUAUCCAUAAUGCUAUAUCUUUGAACAAAUUUUAUGUGAAAUGGAACUAUAUGGCUUGGGAUGUGGGUUGAGCAGUUUGAGGAAGAGUAAAUUGACCUCAGAAUUUAAUUCAGAGUUUAAAACUGCUGAUGAGGCAAGAGUUGCCACUGGGAAUGGAGAGCAGUGUUGAAUAGGAGUGGGUCACAGAUAAUGUGGUUUAGCAGAUUAGGGGUGGAAUAAUGGGUGCAAAAUUUCUUCUUUGCUCAUACUAUGAAACUGGGAGUAGGGCUUUCAUCAAAACUUCAGUCUUCCUGACUCUCUGGUUGCUUUACUGUAUCCCAGUGUCUCUUUUGGCAACCCCUAACUUUAUCCUUGUUGUAGCAGCAGUGUUAACCCCAGGCUGAUGGUGAGAUGAUGGAUUGGAGUUACUUAGCUAUAGGUGAGGUUUACAAAAAAAAUUGUUAGAAAGUGAUUGGUUGGGAUUAUCAUUCUAAGAACAUUUUUAAAUGAGUUUCUGAAAUUAGACUCCAGGGUGAUAUUGUGAAGUUAGGAGUGUUUGGUUAUAGUUUGCUUAGUGUUGUUACAUGGUAUGGUACUUGAGGGAAUUCCAAACAUUUCUGAUUUCUUAUUGGAAUUAAAGAAAAGUUUGAAGUUAAAAUAUUGGCUUAUCUGGAGUUCCCUUGUGGUGCAGUGGGUUAAGGAUCUGGCAUUGUCACUGUGGUGACUUGGGUUGUUGCUGUGGUGCGCCGCGAGUUCAGUCCCUGGCCCAGGAACUUCCACAUGUUGUGGGCAUGGCCAAAGAAAAAAAAAAAA